RNAcentral lists this long non-coding RNA (981 nucleotides) under Homo sapiens (human). RNAcentral's name for it is "HSALNT0140044". The record is from RNAcentral. Lineage: Eukaryota; Metazoa; Chordata; Mammalia; Primates; Hominidae.
CCCGGGUUCACGCCAUUCUCCUGCCUCAGCCUCCCAAGUAGCUGGGACUACAGGCGCCCACCACCACGCCCGGCUAAUUUUUUGUAUUUUUAGUAGAGACGGGGUUUCACCGUUUUAGCUGGAAUGGUCUCGAUCUCCUGACCUCGUGAUCCGCCCGCCUCGGCCUCCCAAAGUGCUGGGACUACAGGCGUGAGCCACCGCGCCCGGCCUGUAAAUCUUUUCUAUUUGCUAUUUUAAUGAUUUCCCUAAUUGAUUUUAGAUAAUUUGUAAAUGUGUUUAUUGAAUUUUUUAUUUAAUAACACUGUAUCAUGCUCAAAACUAUAUAGUUUAUUUUUAUUUACUUAGCUAAGUCAAAUUCUUUUUAAGGAAAAAAACAGGUAGGUACCAUUGUUAGAUGGGGAUAUUGCUAUUGGAAUAUAUGAAUGCUCAGAGUGAUAAAAGCUAGUUUUUAAAAAUUCACUUCCAGAAUGUCAACACAAGAGGAGUUAUUUCAGAUAGCUUGGAGUCCAUUUCUUAUUACAGCAGUAAAAGUAUUUCCAGGAACAAUUAGCUUCUCAUCUUAGAGUUCACAUUUACAAACAACAUUAUAAAAGCAUCUUUGAAAUAUGCUUCUCUGUUUUAACUUCAAAUAAGAUAUUCAUUCAUGAGCUUUUAUAGGAUUUGGUGAAUUCUCAAAUGUCAAUACUGGAGCAAUAUUUAAAAGGAACAUUUAACUAAACUUUUUAAAUAAGUGGUUCACAAAAUUGCUUGACAUGUGCUGUGAUAAUUUUAUUCAUUUUAAUUAACUGCACUAUAAAUUGCCAAAUUCAGUCACUAGCAGGAUAAUGCAUGCUGAUCAGAUCAUAGGAGUCACACAAAACUGUGAGGGAAACGGAGUCAGAUUAAAGCUAUAAUUAAGUAUCUCUUCAGUCAUAGAGGACAAAUGGAAAGAUAAGGUAAAUCAUUCAGUCAAAUGCCAAAAAAAAAAAUGGUGGCAAUCAG